AAGUUUAUUCUUAAUUAAUAAAUAUUUUUUAUAGGAAAAAUAAAAUAUUUUCUAAUAAUUAAAAUUUUUUAAAAAAUGUAAAAGUCCUAAAAGAUAAAUACUAGUGCCAGCAUUCGCGGUUAUUCUAUAUUUUUUUAAGUCUUUAAAUUCUUAAAAAUAUACAAAAUAAAAAAAAAAUAUAAUUAAGUAAAAUUAUUUUAUGAAAUUUAAUAAAUUUUAAGAAAGUAAAUAAAAAUAAAACUAGGAUUAGAUACCCUAUUAUUUUUUAGUUGUAUUAAAGUAGUAAAUUAUAAUAACAAAACUUAAUUUUUUUGGCGGUUUUCUAUAUAUUCACAGGAACUUGUAUAAUUAAAAAGAUAACCCACUUUUAAUUUUACCUUUUUUAUUUUUUUGUACGGUUGUUAGAUAAAAAUUUAUUUUUUUUUCUCAAAAAAUAAAAUAUUUUUAAUUCAGAUCAAUGUGAAGAUAAUAAAAAGGAUUAUAUGAGUUACAAAAAUUAGAAAAAUUAAUUUCAUAAAUUUUUAAAAAUGGAUGUGAAACGUAAAAAUUUAAUAAAAAUAAAUUUUGAAUUAUUCCUAGAAAAAGUACAUAUUGCCCGUCACUCUUAUAAAUUAGAUAAGUCGUAACAAAGUAGAAAUACUGGAAAGUGUUUCUUGU
RNAcentral lists this ribosomal RNA (657 nucleotides) under Sarcoptes scabiei. RNAcentral's name for it is "12S ribosomal RNA". The record is from RNAcentral. Lineage: Eukaryota; Metazoa; Arthropoda; Arachnida; Sarcoptiformes; Sarcoptidae.